Molecule: ribosomal RNA, 314 nt
Filed under: uncultured fungus
Lineage: Eukaryota; Fungi
Description: SSU rRNA
Rfam family: Eukaryotic small subunit ribosomal RNA
Source: RNAcentral
AAAGAUUAAGCCAUGCAUGUCUAAGUAUAAACAAAUUUGUACUGUGAAACUGCGAAUGGCUCAUUAAAUCAGUUAUAGUUUAUUUGAUGGUGCUUUGCUACAUGGAUAACUGUGGUAAUUCUAGAGCUAAUACAUGCAAUCAAGCCCCGACUUUUGGGAGGGGUGUAUUUAUUAGAUAAAAAACCAACGCGGUUCGCCGCUCCACUGGUGAUUCAUAAUAACUUCUCGAAUCGCAUGGCCUUGUGCCGGCGAUGCUUCAUUCGAAUAUCUGCCCUAUCAACUUUCGAUGGUAGAAUAGAGGCCUACCAUGGUUU